UGGGGAAUAUUGCACAAUGGGCGCAAGCCUGAUGCAGCCAUGCCGCGUGUGUGAAGAAGGCCUUCGGGUUGUAAAGCACUUUCAGCGGGGAGGAAGGCGGUGAGGUUAAUAACCUCACCGAUUGACGUUACCCGCAGAAGAAGCACCGGCUAACUCCGUGCCAGCAGCCGCGGUAAUACGGAGGGUGCAAGCGUUAAUCGGAAUUACUGGGCGUAAAGCGCACGCAGGCGGUCUGUCAAGUCGGAUGUGAAAUCCCCGGGCUCAACCUGGGAACUGCAUUCGAAACUGGCAGGCUAGAGUCUUGUAGAGGGGGGUAGAAUUCCAGUUGUAGCGGUGAAAUGCGUAGAGAUCUGGAGGAAUACCGGUGGCGAAGGCGGCCCCCUGGACAAAGACUGACGCUCAGGUGCGAAAGCGUGGGGAGCAAACAGG
RNAcentral lists this ribosomal RNA (429 nucleotides) under Chloroflexota bacterium. RNAcentral describes it as "Chloroflexi bacterium partial 16S ribosomal RNA". It matches the Rfam family "Bacterial small subunit ribosomal RNA", at positions 355 to 776 of the family's 1533-position model. Lineage: Bacteria; Bacillati; Chloroflexota. The record is from RNAcentral.